UCGGUAGCGACUCUAGGGCCUGGAAGGCUGCAGGAAACGGCUGUGCUGAGUGCAGGUGGAGGAUGCGCCCGAGGAGGCAGGUGCUUGGGGCCUUCCCGGAAAACCCUGACACUUUGGCACAGACAGCUUCUGCAUAAUCAGUAGGCUCCACCCUGGGUAUGGAGCCCAACGCAGGGCUUGAACUCACCACCCUGAGAGCAAGAGCUGAGCUGUGAUCAAAAGUCGAACACUUAACCAACUGAGCCACCCAGGUAGCAGGGAAACAAUGAGUAUUUAUAAGCCCACAACCAGUUUAAUUUCUAAGUACCUCAGAUGGCAGUGAAAAACAUAAAAUGAUGUUGGAAUAUUGAUGACAUGGGGACUGCAUGGGGCUGCUGCAGCUUCCAGACUGGAGAAGGUAAGGACCUCAACUAACAUGUUGGCAAAGCAACAGGAAGACCAGAUUUAUGAGCGAGUUCUUAAGGGUGAAAAGGAAACCAGUAAGAAUGAUUUCCAACUUAAUGACCUGAGUAGACAGUGUUGUCAUUAACCAAGGUAGGAAAACUGAGUGGGGAUGAUCUCUCUAGAGAUAAUGAAUUUUAAUGAAUAUGACACAAAGACCAUGGGACAAGGUGGAAAUGUCCAAUGGGUUUGGAAACACGUGAGAUUUUUGAGACUUGGGAAAGAGAUCUAUAACUCAUGGAACAUGGAAGCUGGUGCCAAAAUACGGAAGUAGAAUUACAAGCAGAAGGAACAUUUCCUAAUUUCAUGAGGCCAGCAUUAUCCUAAUAUCAAAACCAGAUAAAAUCAUUUUAAGAAAUGAAAAUUAAGAGGACAUUAUCUCU
Long non-coding RNA from Ailuropoda melanoleuca (giant panda), 824 nucleotides. RefSeq lists it as uncharacterized. NCBI's taxonomy places the organism in Eukaryota, Metazoa, Chordata, Mammalia, Carnivora, Ursidae. The record is from RefSeq and is a predicted model, not a curated record. The transcript is spliced from 4 exons.